RNAcentral lists this long non-coding RNA (294 nucleotides) under Ananas comosus (pineapple). RNAcentral describes it as "long non-coding RNA (ACOM_LNC029680)". Lineage: Eukaryota; Viridiplantae; Streptophyta; Magnoliopsida; Poales; Bromeliaceae. The record is from RNAcentral.
UGAUAGUAUUCCAGCAUAGUUCUAUAUAUAUAUAUAUAUAUAUAUAUAGUUGGACUGGGCUACUAUUAGUAGCAAAAUCCUAUUGUUGCUAUCAGUUUUUUAACCUUUGGAUCAAUUCUUUUCAUUAUUUCUAACCAUUGGAUUAAAUAAUAUAACCCAGUAGGGACCACUCAACCCUAAGGGGACCACUCAACUCUAACCGACUAAUAUCAUCCUGACCCUACAAUUUUUCAUCCAAGGGUUAAAAACUUGAUAGUAAAAAGAACGUUUUACUAUUAAUAAUAUUUUGAGCCU